AGGACGAACGCUGGCGGCGUGCUUAACACAUGCAAGUCGAGCGGAAAGGCCCUUCGGGGUACUCGAGCGGCGAACGGGUGAGUAACACGUGAGCAACCUGCCCCUGGCUCUGGGAUAGCCUCCGGAAACGGGGAUUAAUACCGGACAUGACCUGCUGCCGCAUGGUGGCGGGUGGAAAGUUUUUCGGCCAGGGUGGGGCUCGCGGCCUAUCAGCUUGUUGGGGGGGUGACGGCCCACCAAGGCGACGACGGGUAGCCGGCCUGAGAGGGCGACCGGCCACACUGGGACUGAGACACGGCCCAGACUCCUACGGGAGGCAGCAGUGGGGAAUAUUGCGCAAUGGGCGGAAGCCUGACGCAGCGACGCCGCGUGCGGGAUGGAAGGCCUUCGGGUUGUAAACCGCUUUCACCAGGGGCGAAGCGAGAGUGACGGUACCUGGGGAAGAAGCGCCGGCUAACUACGCGCCAGCAGCCGC
Molecule: ribosomal RNA, 475 nt
Filed under: uncultured bacterium
Lineage: Bacteria
Description: SSU rRNA
Rfam family: Bacterial small subunit ribosomal RNA
Source: RNAcentral